UACGUAGGGGGCAAGCGUUAUCCGGAUUUACUGGGCGUAAAGCGCGUGUAGGCGGCUGCGAAAGUCGGUUGUGAAAUCCCUCGGCUCAACCGAGGAACUGCGCCCAAAACUGUCGUGCUCGAGGGAGACAGAGGUGAGCGGAACUUAGGGUGGAGCGGUGAAAUGCGUUGAUAUCCUAAGGAACACCGGUGGCGAAAGCGGCUCACUGGGUCCCUUCUGACGCUGAGGCACGAAAGCUAGGGUAGCGAACGGG
This 253-nucleotide ribosomal RNA is filed under the name uncultured bacterium. RNAcentral describes it as "partial 16S ribosomal RNA". It matches the Rfam family "Bacterial small subunit ribosomal RNA", at positions 524 to 776 of the family's 1533-position model. The record is from RNAcentral.